This 1566-nucleotide ribosomal RNA is filed under the name Chaetothyriales sp. MP-2014. RNAcentral describes it as "eukaryotic LSU rRNA". The stretch from base 643 to 1566 matches the Rfam family "Eukaryotic large subunit ribosomal RNA", at positions 1 to 943 of the family's 3401-position model. Lineage: Eukaryota; Fungi; Ascomycota; Eurotiomycetes; Chaetothyriales. The record is from RNAcentral.
AUGGCUCAGUGAGGCCUUGGGACUGGCUCAGAGAGGUCGGCAACGACCACUCAGAGCCGGAAACUUGGUCAAACUUGGUCAUUUAGAGGAAGUAAAAGUCGUAACAAGGUUUCCGUAGGUGAACCUGCGGAAGGAUCAUUACCGAGUUAGGGGUCUCCGGCCCCGACCUCCAACCCUAUGUUUACUUAAAAUUGUUGCUUCGGCGGGCCCGUCUUAGUGCUUCGUGCUUGAGACCGCUGGGGAGAAAUCCCUUGCCCGCGUCCGUCGAUAGCCCUACUUUUAAAUUCUUGAUGAACUGUGUCGGCUGAGUGUCUUAAUAAAUAAGCACAAAACUUUCAACAACGGAUCUCUUGGUUCUGGCAUCGAUGAAGAACGCAGCGAAAUGCGAUAAGUAAUGCGAAUUGCAGAUUCCGUGAGUCAUCGAAUCUUUGAACGCACAUUGCGCCCUUUGGUAUUCCGAAGGGCAUGCCUGUUCGAGCGUCAUUAUCAACCCUCAAGCCCGGCUUGAUGUUGGACCCAAGUCGCGCCUGCGACUGGUCUCAAAGAGAACGCCGGCGUCACGAGCACCCUCGGUACAAUGAGCUUUCAUGAGCACGUACUGCAGCGGCCUCGGGGCCUGGUUUUACAUCUAUUUUCUAAGGUUGACCUCGGAUCAGGUAGGGAUACCCGCUGAACUUAAGCAUAUCAAUAAGCGGAGGAAAAGAAACCAACAGGGAUUGCCUUAGUAACGGCGAGUGAAGCGGCAACAGCUCAAAUUUGAAAUCUGGCCUCUUCGGGGUCCGAGUUGUAAUUUGGAGAGGAUGCUUUGGGUACCGCCCCGGUUUAAAUUUCUUGGAACAGAAUGCCACAGAGGGUGAGAGUCCCGUCUGGAACCGGUGGUAGGGCUCGUGUAAAGCUCCUUCGACGAGUCGAGUUGUUUGGGAAUGCAGCUCAAAAUGGGUGGUAAAUUUCAUCUAAAGCUAAAUAUUGGCCAGAGACCGAUAGCGCACAAGUAGAGUGAUCGAAAGAUGAAAAGCCCUUUGAAAAGAGAGUUAAACAGUAUGUGAAAUUGUUGAAAGGGAAGCGCUUACGACCAGACUUGUGUGCAGUGGUUCCCCCUUCCUUCUGGUUGGGCUACUCCGCUGUACUCAGGCCAACAUCGGUUUUGGUGACCGGUUAAAGGCUCCGGGAAUGUAUCUUCCCCUCGGGGAAGACUUAUAGCCCGGGGUGUCAUGCGGCCUACCGAGACCGAGGCACGCGCUUCGGCGAGGAUGUUGGCGUAAUGGUCGUCAGCGACCCGUCUUGAAACACGGACCAAGGAGUCUAACAUCUAUGCGAGUGUUUGGGUGUCAAACCCUCACGCGGAAUGAAAGUGAACGGAGGUAGGAAGCUUUGGCUGCACUAUCGACCGAUCCUGAUGUCUUCGGAUGGAUUUGAGUAAGAGCAUAGCUGUUGGGACCCGAAAGAUGGUGAACUAUGCCUGAAUAGGGUGAAGCCAGAGGAAACUCUGGUGGAGGCUCGCAGCGGUUCUGACGUGCAAAUCGAUCGUCAAAUUUGGGUAUAGGGGCGAAAGACUAAUCGAACCAU